Molecule: non-coding RNA, 73 nt
Organism: Phlebotomus papatasi
Lineage: Eukaryota; Metazoa; Arthropoda; Insecta; Diptera; Psychodidae
Source: Rfam
GCCUCUAUAGCUCAGUUGGUAGAGCACUCGUCUACUUAACGAGAGGUCUCCAGUUCGAUUCUGGGUGGAGGCA